GACGAACGCUGGCGGUGUGCUUAACACAUGCAAGUCGAACGGUAAGGCCCUUUCGGGGGUACACGAGUGGCGAACGGGUGAGUAACACGUGAGUAACCUGCCCUCAUCUCUGGGAUAACAGUCGGAAACGGUUGCUAAUCCUGGAUAUGAGCCUGCAAGGCAUCUUGUGGGUUGGAAAGAUUUUUUGGUUGGGGAUGGACUCGCGGCCUAUCAGCUUGUUGGUGAGGUAGUGGCUCACCAAGGCUUCGACGGGUAGCCGGCCUGAGAGGGCGACCGGCCACAUUGGGACUGAGAUACGGCCCAAACUCCUACGGGAGGCAGCAGUGGGGAAUAUUGCACAAUGGACGGAAGUCUGAUGCAGCAACGCCGCGUGCGGGAUGACGGCCUUCGGGUUGUAAACCGCUUUCAAUUGUGACGAAGCUUUUUGUGACGGUAGCAGUAGAAGAAGCACCGGCUAACUACGUG
This 465-nucleotide ribosomal RNA is filed under the name uncultured bacterium. RNAcentral's name for it is "partial 16S ribosomal RNA". It matches the Rfam family "Bacterial small subunit ribosomal RNA", at positions 28 to 507 of the family's 1533-position model. The record is from RNAcentral.